AAAGGCGCAAUGAAAGUGAAGGUCCGCCUUGCGCGGACCGAGGGAGGAUGGGUGGUCCCGAGGGGCCGCCUCGCACUCCCGGGGCGUCUCGUUCUCAUCGCGAGAAGAGGCGCACCCAGAGCGUACACGCUGGGACCCGAAAGAUGGUGAACUAUGCCUGGUCAGGACGAAGUCAGGGGAAACCCUGAUGGAGGUCCGUAGCGAUUCUGACGUGCAAAUCGAUCGUCGGAACUGGGUAUAGGGGCGAAAGACUAAUCGAACCAUCUAGUAGCUGGUUCCCUCCGAAGUUUCCCUCAGGAUAGCUGGCGCUCGCUUCUGGCGAGUCUCAUUCGGUAAAGCGAAUGAUUAGAGGCAUUGGGGUCGAAACGGCCUCAACCUAUUCUCAAACUUUAAAUGGGUGAGAUCUCCGGCUUGCUUGAACUGUGAAGCCGCGAGAUAUCGGAUCAGAGUGCCAAGUGGGCCACUUUUGGUAAGCAGAACUGGCGCUGUGGGAUGAACCAAACGCUGAGUUAAAGCGCCUAAAUCGACGCUUAUGGGA
This 538-nucleotide ribosomal RNA is filed under the name Holotrichia sp. c.s.syu201333. RNAcentral describes it as "eukaryotic LSU rRNA". It matches the Rfam family "Eukaryotic large subunit ribosomal RNA", at positions 710 to 1209 of the family's 3401-position model. The record is from RNAcentral. RNAcentral also lists the same sequence under 1 other name. Lineage: Eukaryota; Metazoa; Arthropoda; Insecta; Coleoptera; Scarabaeidae.